UUAAUCAAGGGAGAUCAUUCUUGAGGAGAAACAGAAUGCAGAUUGGCAACAGAAGUCUGAUGGUGUCUAUGGCAUUUGAUUUGCUACUCCCACAGCCCCAACUGUGUUCCCACUGUCUCCUUGUAGCCAAGAUGUAGCCACUGCCUCCCAAGUUAGCAUGGGUUGUCUCAUCAAAGGCUACUUUCCCGAACCAGCUACGGUGCAAUGGAACUCAGGUGCCAUCACCAGCGGAAUCCAUCAGUUCCCUUCAGUUUUGUUUCCAUCUGGCCUCUAUACCCACAGCAGCCAGCUCACCGUCCCCAUCAGCCAGUGGAAAUCAGACUCAUUCCAGUGCAACGUUAACCAUGCAGCCACCAGCUCCAGAAUUACCAAAAAAAUUGAGCGUGCUCCAACCCAUGACCCAAUGCCCCCCGAGGUACGCCUUCUCCAUUCUUCAUGCAAUCCCAAAGUUAGUGAUGGGAUCAUACAGCUGGUGUGCCUGAUUUCGGGUUUCUACCCCAAAGAGCUGAACGUUGAAUGGCUGGUGGGCAGCCAACAGGUGAUUUCAUCCACUGAGCCUCCCAGGCAGGAUGUAAGUGGGUACACUUUCAGUACCACCAGCACGAUCAACGUAACCCAAGCAGAUUGGCUGGGAGGGAAUACUUACUACUGCCAAGUAACCCAUGCGGGGUCACAAACCAAGAUGAAAAGCAGAGCCAGGAAAUGUGAAGAUGGCAGUAGCUGUUCCUCCAGUGCUAUUAAUGUGUAUAUUCUGCCCCCAACACCGAGAGCCUUGUACACAGAUAGAAAUAGCAAGCUCAGCUGUGUGGUGGGCAAUCUGGAAAACGAUCAGAGGUUGAAAUUUACCUGGUCUCGGGGCAAGGGUGGAAAUGUAAACCCUGAUUUAGCGGAAACAACAGAAGAACAGAAUGGUACCUACACCAUUGUCAGCCGCCUCUCCGUCUUCCCCCAUGACUGGGACUCGGGAGAGAUUUUCACCUGUGCAGUGGAAUAUCCAGGCUUGGCUGUUCCCAUCACAAAGAUAAUUUCCAAGCUCGCAGGCAAGAGCAGUGCACCCAAGGUCUCCAUCUUCCCUCCCCCCCAAGAGGAACUCAACCCAGGCAACAUUAUGAGUCUUUCCUGCAUGGUGAAUGGGUUUUCCCCAGCAUAUCUUGAUAUCCAGUGGCUAAAGAAUUACAAUCCUCUGCCAGAAGACAACUUUGUGAAUACCCCAGCUAUGAAGAAUAACCAUGAAGAUUCCUUCUUCGCCUACAGCAAACUGAGUAUCCCCAGAGAUGAUUGGGAACGGUCCGAUGUAUUCACCUGUAUGGUGGUCCAUGAAGCCCUCCCCAUGAAGUUCACUCAGAGGAACAUGUCAAAAUCUCAGGGUAAAAAAUGAAGACUGAUCUCAACCAGCUUCUCCAUUUCAAUCCAUCCUAGAUUUGCCUCUAGUACUGUCAGACCAAACUGUUAAUUAUUUCUCUACUCACCCAUUUGGCUUCUGGAUGAAUAAAAGCAAACCAUCUCAGAAA
This is a non-coding RNA of Python bivittatus (Burmese python), 1511 nucleotides long. NCBI's taxonomy places the organism in Eukaryota, Metazoa, Chordata, Lepidosauria, Squamata, Pythonidae. The record is from the annotation of a RefSeq genome assembly.